AGAUUACUAGUUCCACAAGCCCUAAAAUCACCUAACUGGGAAUGUGACCCGCCUAUUGUUACAGGCCGGCGAAGAUAUCUAUUCUCUUCGCCGGCACCGCUCUGGAUUUCCAUGUCGGACGCCGCCCUCUUUCUCACCAUUUUGCUGUUGUCCUUGUCACUGCUGCCGCCGACGUUUGCACUUGUAUUGCCCCAGUUGUCACCGUUCGGAGGUAAAGCCUUUGCCAUAACGAUAUACAGAUAUAAAAGGAGAGAGAUAGAUAUUUGUCAAACGCUGUUGAUUUUUCUUCUUCAUUAUACUGAGAUCCAGUCUCGGCUUAAUAAAAGCAAACCAGUAGAAACGUUGCUAAGGAGAUGAUCCAAGCAUAAAACGGUGAAAGGAUUUAGACAGAGAGAAGCAUUGGGAUUCUGUGGUUAGUCUCGUCUCCACCUCCACUAUUUUCCACCAUUUUAAUUUCUCCUUUAUUUAAAACCCAACACAACACGACCUCCUAGGGCUUGCUUAGCUUACUAUACUAAUUGUUUAUAAACACUUGACUGCUUGCCUUUUGGAAUUAUAUGCAAUUUCAGUAUUGCCAAUGAGAAAGAGGCUGAAGAGGAUGGAAUUUAUUGACGACACAAAGUACUGAAGUUGUUGAAGAUUUAAUCGCAAAAUAUUUGUACUACUACAUGAGCUAUCUUUUUCUCUUUUACCCCUAUCCACCUUUUUUCCUAAACUCGUCAAUUAUUAUUGCGGCUCUAGAUCUAGCUAGAAUUUUUUGUGUAUUAUGGAACUGAGAUUGGAAUGCACGUCGACUCACAAACGAUCUCGCAUUUAUACAUAUUCAAUGGGAUUAGUUAUCCUUUUACAUCAGAUAAUUAAUUCUGUUAUU
This 871-nucleotide long non-coding RNA is filed under the name Nicotiana tabacum (common tobacco). RNAcentral describes it as "long non-coding RNA (NTAB_LNC018680)". Lineage: Eukaryota; Viridiplantae; Streptophyta; Magnoliopsida; Solanales; Solanaceae. The record is from RNAcentral.